Mus musculus (house mouse) is the source of this 341-nucleotide non-coding RNA. NCBI's taxonomy places the organism in Eukaryota, Metazoa, Chordata, Mammalia, Rodentia, Muridae. The record is from the annotation of a RefSeq genome assembly.
AUGAAAUCCUUGAGUGUUUUACUAGUGGUCCUGUGGCUCCAGUUAAACUGCGUGAGGAGCCAGCAGAAGGUGCAGCAGAGCCCAGAAUCCCUCAGUGUCCCAGAGGGAGGCAUGGCCUCUCUCAACUGCACUUCAAGUGAUCGUAAUUUUCAGUACUUCUGGUGGUACAGACAGCAUUCUGGAGAAGGCCCCAAGGCACUGAUGUCCAUCUUCUCUGAUGGUGACAAGAAAGAAGGCAGAUUCACAGCUCACCUCAAUAAGGCCAGCCUGCAUGUUUCCCUGCACAUCAGAGACUCCCAGCCCAGUGACUCCGCUCUCUACUUCUGUGCAGCUAGUGAGCA